UACGGGGGGAGCAAGCGUUGUUCGGAUUUACUGGGCGUAAAGGGCGCGUAGGCGGUCGUGACAAGUCACUUGUGAAAUCUCUGGGCUUAACUCGGAACGGUCAAGUGAUACUGUCGGACUAGAGUACAGAAGGGGCAACUGGAAUUCUCGGUGUAGCGGUGAAAUGCGUAGAUAUCGAGAGGAACACCUGCGGCGAAGGCGGGUUGCUGGGCUGAUACUGACGCUGAGGCGCGAAAGCCAGGGGAGCGAACGGG
This 254-nucleotide ribosomal RNA is filed under the name uncultured bacterium. RNAcentral describes it as "partial 16S ribosomal RNA". It matches the Rfam family "Bacterial small subunit ribosomal RNA", at positions 524 to 776 of the family's 1533-position model. The record is from RNAcentral.